Molecule: microRNA precursor, 153 nt
Filed under: Amborella trichopoda
Lineage: Eukaryota; Viridiplantae; Streptophyta; Magnoliopsida; Amborellales; Amborellaceae
Description: MIR8565 microRNA precursor family
Rfam family: MIR8565 microRNA precursor family
Source: Rfam by way of RNAcentral
CCCACACCCAUGUGUGUAGGACCCUAAAGGUUCACCAUUAAAUUUGGCAUAGAUCUCUAGAAAAGUUAUCACAUGGGUGUGAGAUUUGACUUUUCUAGAGAUCUGUGCCAAAUUUAAUGGUGAUCUUUUGGGUCCUACAUACAUGGGUGUGGG